Molecule: unclassified non-coding RNA, 242 nt
Filed under: plant metagenome
Description: partial contains small subunit ribosomal RNA, internal transcribed spacer 1, and 5.8S ribosomal RNA
Source: RNAcentral
UCUCCGUUGGUGAACCAGCGGAGGGAUCAUUACAGAGUUUUCACAACUCCCAACCCUUGCGAACCGUACCCAUUCUGUUCUCGUUGCUUCCGGCGGGGGGGACGGGGGGGCCCGAAACGGCCUCUCCGCCCCGCCCGCCGGGGGCGGCGGGCCCUACGAACCUUUAUAUCCCACCCACCAGAAAGCGUCUGAGAAAACACACAAAAAAAUCAACACUUUCAACAACGGAUCUCUUGGCUCUG